AUGAUGGAUGAUGAUUUAUUCAAGUUGGACACUGAGCUUUUGGGGGUUUAUUCCGAAGAUGCAACCAAUGAUGACAAGCCCCUGGAGGAUGAACCUCAGAAUGAGCGGACAUGUGAUGAUGAUUUCAAGCACCUGUCACAGAAUGCAGAAGAUCAUGUGCCAGCCUUUGACGAACUUGAUGAAGAUAAUCUGAUGGGGCAGUUAUUUGCCGAGAACCCCCUGGAGCUGGCUAACUAUGCAAAGAAUCACGUGCCAAUGUAUGAUGAACAUGAUGAAGAUGUUCUGACGGGACAAUUAUUCGCUGAGAAUCCCCAGGAGCUGGCUCGGUAUACAGAGAAUCAUGUCCCAAUGUAUGAUAACCAUGGUAUGUAUAAACUCUUUAGUUUGAGGAUGGAUCUGGUCUGA
This 405-nucleotide ribosomal RNA is filed under the name Triticum aestivum (bread wheat). RNAcentral describes it as "partial small subunit ribosomal RNA". Lineage: Eukaryota; Viridiplantae; Streptophyta; Magnoliopsida; Poales; Poaceae. The record is from RNAcentral.